Molecule: ribosomal RNA, 457 nt
Filed under: uncultured eukaryote
Lineage: Eukaryota
Description: bacterial SSU rRNA
Rfam family: Eukaryotic small subunit ribosomal RNA
Source: RNAcentral
CAAUAGCGUAUAUUAAAGUUGUUGCAGUUAAAAGCUCGUAGUUGGAUCUCGGACCCCGGCUCGCGGUCCGCCUCACGGCGUGUUACUGCCCGUCCGGGGUCUACCUGCCGGCUUGCAGGGGGGAGGCGAUCCUCCCACCUUUCCCUUUCGGUGCUCUUGACUGAGUGUCUCGGGGGCCGGGAACGUUUACUUUGAAAAAUUAAGAGUGUUCAAAGCAGGCGAUUCGCCUGAAUAGUGGUGCAUGGAAUAAUGGAAUAGGACCUCGGUUCUAUUUUGUUGGUGUUCUUUCGGAACUCGAGGUAAUGAUUAAGAGGGACAGACGGGGGCAUUCGUAUUGCGGUGUUAGAGGUGAAAUUCUUGGAUCGCCGCAAGACGAACUACUGCGAAAGCAUUUGCCAAGAAUGUUUUCUAUUAAUCAAGAACGAAAGUCAGAGGUUCGAAGAUGAUCAGAUACCGU